Molecule: long non-coding RNA, 1178 nt
Organism: Motacilla alba alba
Lineage: Eukaryota; Metazoa; Chordata; Aves; Passeriformes; Motacillidae
Exons: 2
Source: RefSeq, a predicted model, not a curated record
GCCUGUUUCUCUGCUGGAGGUUAUGUGUGAGGGCAGAGGCUCUGGGACAGACAGCCCCACCAGGAAGCUGGAGAGAGGCCUAGAGCUGCCAUGUGAGCAGUGUGAUGACCACAAGCAGCCUGAAACAUGCCAAUGUCACCCAAGGGAUCACAGAAUCAAAAAGGCUGGAAAAGACCUCUAAGAUCAUUGAGUCCAACUAGAUGGGUGUGAGGAAGUGGAAUAAGCUUCAUUACACUGUUAUGUGACAGAGGAGAUUCUAGGAGUUAAUGAAAAUACUGUGGAAAAAGAAGUGUGCACAGAAACACUUUGAUUUGAUUAUAAUAAAAAAUUUAUUUUGAUUCAUAUCAUACUGAAAAAUUAAAUAAAUAAAUUGUCAACAAAUGAUUGUGUCAGACUCCCACCAUAAGGGAAAAAAAAUCAUAAUUGAUCAUGUAGUCAGAGAAAAGUACAAAGAAAACCUGGACAUGGGAGGAAAAAAGUGCACAAGAGAUUUGGCUUUGGUAAAAAACAUAACACACACUCAAGGAGUGCUUCAGAGAUUUUGCAGUGGUGGCAAAUACAGUCCAAGAGUUUGAAGCCUUGACAUGUUGUUAAAUGUUUUCCUUGGUUCUUUUAAAUUAAAUAAACCCAAAAAGUUUCUAGUAGGAAAACAGUCUUCAAUAAUGCCAGUAGGAAUUAAUUCUUCCCUCAGCAUCAUCUGUUUGUAUCUCCUGAUUCUGAAGGCAAUUGAAAGAGCAGCAAAAUUGUGGAGAAACUGAGACAAGAAUCUAACACAACAGUCAGUUGCCUAAAUGACUCUAGAAAAAGUUCCCCUGGAACAGAAACGUGAUGGCACAGACUAUUCCUCAUCCUACACCUGGAGAGAUCCACUCUCUGCCCUCCUUACACUCUGAAAAAUGAACAUCAGGGGUACACAGUUACUGCUUGCUGUUGGCAACAAAAUUAAAUGGGAAUUGCAGCUUGUUCCAUGAUGAAGACAUUAAAUCUAUCUGCAUGUAUGAGCCAUGAGGUUUUAUAUGUGCUGUCAGAAGCAGAAUGUUCAGGGGGAAAAUAGAAAUUUUAUUAGAACAGAAAAAUGAAACCUUCAAACAACACUGGCUAGAAUAUAGCUGGCUUCUUUUUCCACUGUUUUUUGAUUCUAAAUUGACCUCUGUGAUAAAAAAAAAAAACAAAACAAA